Molecule: ribosomal RNA, 853 nt
Filed under: uncultured bacterium
Lineage: Bacteria
Description: bacterial SSU rRNA
Rfam family: Bacterial small subunit ribosomal RNA
Source: RNAcentral
GACGAACGCUGGCGGCGUGCUUAACACAUGCAAGUCGAGCGAUGAAGCACCUUCGGGUGUGAAUUAGCGGCGAACGGGUGAGGAACACGUGAGAAAUCUGCCUUCAACUCUGGGAUAACUCCGUGAAAACGGGGCUAAUACCGGAUAUGAGAUCUACAGGCAUCUGUGGAUCUGGAAAGUUUUUCGGUUGAAGAUGAUCUCGCGGCCUAUCAGCUUGUUGGUGAGGUAAUGGCUCACCAAGGCGACGACGGGUAGCCGGCCUGAGAGGGCGACCGGCCACACUGGGACUGAGACACGGCCCAGACUCCUACGGGAGGCAGCAGUGGGGAAUAUUGGGCAAUGGAGGAAACUCUGACCCAGCGACGCCGCGUGCGGGAUGAAGGCCUUCGGGUUGUAAACCGCUUUCAGCAGGGAAGAAGCGAAAGUGACGGUACCUGCAGAAGAAGCACCGGCUAACUAUGUGCCAGCAGCCGCGGUAAUACAUAGGGUGCAAGCGUUGUCCGGAAUUAUUGGGCGUAAAGAGCUCGUAGGUGGUUCGUCACGUCGGAUGUGAAACUCUGGGGCUUAACCCCAGACCUGCAUUCGAUACGGGCGAGCUUGAGUAUGGUAGGGGAGUCUGGAAUUCCUGGUGUAGCGGUGGAAUGCGCAGAUAUCAGGAGGAACACCAAUGGCGAAGGCAGGACUCUGGGCCAUUACUGACACUGAGGAGCGAAAGCGUGGGGAGCGAACAGGAUUAGAUACCCUGGUAGUCCACGCCGUAAACGGUGGGCACUAGUUGUGGGGACCUUCCACGGUCUCUGCGACGCAGCUAACGCAUUAAGUGCCCCGCCUGGGGAGUACGAUCGCAAGAUUA